This 224-nucleotide ribosomal RNA is filed under the name uncultured bacterium. Its description in RNAcentral is "partial 16S ribosomal RNA". It matches the Rfam family "Bacterial small subunit ribosomal RNA", at positions 550 to 773 of the family's 1533-position model. The record is from RNAcentral.
UUUAUUGGGUUUAAAGGGUGCGUAGGCGGCUUAUUAAGUCAGUGGUGAAAGCCAACAGCUCAACUGUUGAACUGCCAUUGAUACUGCUGGUCUAGAGUACAAUUGAUGUGGGCGGAAUGUGUCGUGUAGCGGUGAAAUGCUUAGAUAUGACACAGAACACCGAUUGCGAAGGCAGCUCACAAAACUGUAACUGACGCUGAGGCACGAAAGUGUGGGGAUCGAAC